RNAcentral lists this unclassified non-coding RNA (355 nucleotides) under Hevea brasiliensis (rubber tree). Lineage: Eukaryota; Viridiplantae; Streptophyta; Magnoliopsida; Malpighiales; Euphorbiaceae. The record is from RNAcentral.
GAAAACUUUAGACCUUCAUGAUGUUCCUCAACUUCAUGGCGAGGAUACUGGGGCUGGGUCAUUUCCAGUUUUUAGAAAUAAACUUGGGUUGGACAGUGAUACUGCUGGUGGAGUUACCACGUUUAAGCUCACGAAAGCAUUAAUCCUUUCAUAUUGGAAGGAAAUUCUAUGGACAGCUUUUUUAGCACUGUUAUACACAUCAGCUUCUUUUGUUGGUCCAUACCUUAUAGCCACUUUUGUUCAGUGCCUCAGUGGGAAAGGAGAGUUCAAAAAUCAGGGAUAUUUUCUAGCUUCCACAUUUUUUGUUGCAAAACUCGUAGAGUGCCUCUCGCAGAGGCAUUGGUUCUUUAGGUUG